Molecule: ribosomal RNA, 454 nt
Filed under: uncultured bacterium
Lineage: Bacteria
Description: bacterial SSU rRNA
Rfam family: Bacterial small subunit ribosomal RNA
Source: RNAcentral
GAGUUUGAUCCUGGCUCAGAACGAACGCUGGCGGCAUGCCUUAUACAUGCAAGUCGAACGAGAAAGUCACUUCGGUGGCGAGUACAGUGGCGCACGGGUGAGUAACGCGUAGAUGAUCUACCCUUCAGUCUGGGACAACUCUUGGAAACGGGAGCUAAUACCGGAUAAAACCUUCGGGUUGAAAGAUUUAUCGCUGGGGGAUGAGUCUGCGUACCAUUAGCUUGUUGGUGGGGUAACGGCCUACCAAGGCGACGAUGGUUAGCGGGUCUGAGAGGACGAUCCGCCACACUGGAACUGAGACACGGUCCAGACUCCUACGGGAGGCAGCAGUAGGGAAUAUUGCGCAAUGGGGGCAACCCUGACGCAGCAAUGCCGCGUGAGUGAAGAAGGCCUUCGGGUCGUAAAGCUCUUUUAUGGGGGAAGAUGAUGACGGUACCCCAUGAAUAAGCACCGG